GGUUAAGCGACUAAGCGUACACGGUGGAUGCCCUGGCAGUCAGAGGCGAUGAAGGACGUGCUAAUCUGCGAUAAGCGUCGGUAAGGUGAUAUGAACCGUUAUAACCGGCGAUUUCCGAAUGGGGAAACCCAGU
This 133-nucleotide ribosomal RNA is filed under the name Escherichia coli. RNAcentral describes it as "partial 23S ribosomal RNA". It matches the Rfam family "Bacterial large subunit ribosomal RNA", at positions 1 to 132 of the family's 2925-position model. Lineage: Bacteria; Pseudomonadati; Pseudomonadota; Gammaproteobacteria; Enterobacterales; Enterobacteriaceae. RNAcentral also lists the same sequence under 1 other name. The record is from RNAcentral.